UUUUUUUUUUUCAAUUUUACCUCUUUCUGUUCGGUUCUGAAUCUUUGAUUAAAUUUGUUUGUUUUUAAUUAUUUUUUCAUUGAUUUGUUUGUUUGAUCUGUAAUGCAAUUUAGGGUUUGGGAAUUGACUAGCAUGUGGGCCUCUGUUUUUAAUGGCGGUUUUCGUCCUGAUUUCUGAUCCUUAAAUCUUUUCAUUUAAGUCUAGGGUUUUUUUAGUAUCCAUGUAUUUCUUUCCUUCUAGUGGUAAUUGACUUGAUAUUGGUGGUAUUUGUGGUUUUCAGUAUCCGAAACUUGUUGCUUUAGUAUGUUUUGGUGCAUCUUAAGUUGUAAUGUAGGUAUUGCUAGCUGUUUCUUUAGCGUUUCCUAGGAGUUUCUACUGUCUAUUUUAUUUUGUUAUUGUCGAUUUGGGGGUUCUAAUGGUACCUGAGUCAGCCUUAUAGACACAUAUGCAUAUCAUGAACAUUCAAUUCCACUAUUGAAAAAGAAAGAAAGCGUUUAGGGAUGGAGGGUGAUAAAAGGAACUGGCAACAAAAUGUACACAAAAAUCAGAAAGAAGCAAACUUGGUAAUUGGGGAACUAUCACCAGCUGCUUCAAAUUGGUUGAGGA
This 606-nucleotide unclassified non-coding RNA is filed under the name Hevea brasiliensis (rubber tree). The record is from RNAcentral. Lineage: Eukaryota; Viridiplantae; Streptophyta; Magnoliopsida; Malpighiales; Euphorbiaceae.